CCCCUAGAUGUUCUGGGCCGCACGCGCGCUACACUGAACAGUUCAACAAGUCUUAACCUUGGCCGAAAGGUCUGGGUAAUCUCCAAAUUUCGUCGUGAUGGGGAUAGAUUAUUGCAAUUAUUAAUCUUCAACGAGGAAUGCCUAGUAAGCGCAAGUCAUCAGCUUGCGUUGAUUACGUCCCUGCCCUUUGUACACACCGCCCGUCGCUCCUACCGAUUGAAUGGUCCGGUGAAGCGUUCGGACCGUGGCCUUUGGACGGUUCGCCGUCUGUUGGCUGCGGGAAGUUCGUUAAACCUUNUNAUUUAGNGGAAGGAGAANUCGUANCA
Molecule: ribosomal RNA, 326 nt
Filed under: uncultured eukaryote
Lineage: Eukaryota
Description: partial 18S ribosomal RNA
Rfam family: Eukaryotic small subunit ribosomal RNA
Source: RNAcentral